This 253-nucleotide ribosomal RNA is filed under the name uncultured bacterium. Its description in RNAcentral is "partial 16S ribosomal RNA". It matches the Rfam family "Bacterial small subunit ribosomal RNA", at positions 524 to 776 of the family's 1533-position model. The record is from RNAcentral.
UACGUAGGGUGCAAGCGUUGUCCGGAAUUAUUGGGCGUAAAGAGCUCGUAGGCGGUUUGUCGCGUCGGCUGUGAAAACUCGGGGCUCAACCCCGAGCCUGCAGUCGAUACGGGCAGACUAGAGUGCUGUAGGGGAGACUGGAAUUCCUGGUGUAGCGGUGGAAUGCGCAGAUAUCAGGAGGAACACCGGUGGCGAAGGCGGGUCUCUGGGCCGUUACUGACGCUGAGGAGCGAAAGCGUGGGGAGCGAACAGG